RNAcentral lists this unclassified non-coding RNA (307 nucleotides) under Hydnodontaceae sp. RNAcentral describes it as "partial contains 5.8S ribosomal RNA, internal transcribed spacer 2, and large subunit ribosomal RNA". Lineage: Eukaryota; Fungi; Basidiomycota; Agaricomycetes; Trechisporales; Hydnodontaceae. The record is from RNAcentral.
CGCACCUUGCGCCCCUUGGUAUUCCGAGGGGCAUGCCUGUUUGAGUGUCUUGAAAUCAUCAAACCGAACCGGUCUUUGUCGGCCGGCGCGGUUUGGACUUGGGGGUUCCUUGCUGCCGCUCGCGGUGGCUCCCCUUAAAUUCAUCGGUCGGGCUUUCGUGCGGCUCUGUCCCUUGGCGUUGUAUUACCCUCGUCGCUGGAUGGCUCGCGAUACAGUGCCCGUCUUCGACCUGCCUCUGGAGUGGCGGUCUUCAACAUGUAUUUUGUGAUCUGACCUCAAAUCAGGUAGGACUACCCGCUGAACUUAA